Long non-coding RNA from Gossypium raimondii (Peruvian cotton), 908 nucleotides. RefSeq lists it as uncharacterized. Lineage: Eukaryota; Viridiplantae; Streptophyta; Magnoliopsida; Malvales; Malvaceae. The record is from RefSeq and is a predicted model, not a curated record. The transcript is spliced from 2 exons.
UUAUUUUUGAGUGGCUGUAUUUUUUAUGCUUCACUUGUGCGUCUAUUGAUGUGUGUGUCUGUCUUAUGGUUGAACCAUAAAAAAGUUGUUCCUUUAAUUUUCUUAAUAGUUUAUAUAAUUUGAACUCUAUUCAUAUUAUGGGUUUUCUGACAAAAAUGCUUUCAAUUAUGCAUCUUUUUGGUUGACAAAAAUCUGUUUGGGUUGCAUUCUGUAACCUAAAUAUUUGUACUACUAUUAAUGUGGUAUCACUUUGGUCUAGCAAAACCAUCAUUAUGUGACAUGAAGUCCUUUUGAAACUUUCAGUUCAUUAUUCUCCUUAUCUAGACUGAAUUGUUUUUCUCAGAAUCCACUUCUCUGAAAUCAUACGAACCAUGGGAAUUCAUUGACAACAUCUUUUUGACCUCAAGGUCUCGUUGUCUUUAUUCUUAAAAUUUUACACGCUGCUCGAAAUAAUGUGCUUCUUGCAGUUCCAUCUCUGCUUUAUGCUAUUAAUAAUUACCUAAAGUUUAUCAUGCAGGUGGUGUUGACGAGGUGCACAUGUUUAUACCUUUGCUUUCACUGUUCUAAUCUUGGAGACAGAAUGCAUUUUUCUCAUUUUUUCUCUCUUGAUUUUUGCUUUUAUUAGCUACUGAAGUGAACCAUCUUUUGGAAUUUGUGGUUGUCUUAGGUACUGGUCCUUUUGAAAUUUAGUACGGUGCUUUAUUUUGUUACAGCUGAGGCUGUGGCAGGAUCAACAACAUGGUUGGGUCGAGGACUUUCUUGUGUAUGUACUCAGAGCAGAGAGAGUGAUGCUCGUCCAUCAUUUGAUUUAACUCUUUCCCAGGCACUUAGAUUAAGGUCAAAUGAGCUAAAAUUGGAGAGGCAAUUGGAGAACACAAAGGCUGAAAUUUCUUCUUUCAAGUAUGCUA